CCCCAAUCUGACCCCAGCCGCCAAACGAACCCUAGCCCCCUUUCUUCGUCGCCUCAAUCCCUAUAGCCGCUGCACCCCUCCCUGUCCCUUCUGUGCGUGCGCUCGGCCAAGGACGCCGCCGUCGCCCUCGGCUGCUCCUCCACCACCCCGCCUCUUUCUCCUCCUCGCCUUCCCAUCGGUUGCGCUCAGGUCGUCGCCGUCGAUGAAUAGGAUAGUGCGGGCCGCUUCCUCCUUUUCCUCCGGCCGGAUCUAAGGCGUGCGACCGCGGAGGCGAGCCUCUCCGGUGGCAGAGGCAAAGGCGACCACAUGGAUCGAUCCCUGCAGGAGAUAGAAGAUUGGAGAGAGGGAAAGAAGGAAGGAGAGGAGGGGGACCCAGUGGCGGACAGGAGAGGGUCACCAGCCGGCGCCGGCGAGGUCAAGUGCGACCUAAUGGUUGGUGGUGGCUCGAUCCACUCCUGGAUCUUUAUUGUUCCACUUCCCCACUGCCUAACACCGAGCAAGAGGGCUGCCCGAGGAAGAGGGUGAGGACGCAGGGAUUGAAGAGGGUGUUCCCGCGUUCAUCGCCUGGCCAAGUGCAAGGACGAGGACGAGGACGUGGGGUGGAGCAUGUCAUCCCUCUGGUUAUCGCCUUCCUUUCUGCUGCUGGGCUGAGAUGAGGGUUUUCUCCAGCGAUUGUGGUAGCCCGAGUCAGAGAUCGACAGCUAGAUGCUUGUGGCUACCACACAAAAUGUGCUCUCUUGCUGACCUCGAGGUCCGGCCGCAAUUCCUCUUGUUUUUGCUCCAAGGUAUAGAAGAAGGACCUUUGCUUAAUGGUUGAUUUUCUUCUGCUCACGGCAGCUUGCUCGAGGCAAACAUGCAAGCCUGACAUGCACUGAUGGCGCUGCCGGCAGUAUCAAGGAUGGAAACAGCAAGACUCUCUUUUAGGUCAGAGAAACUGGUGGUGCCAAUGAUAACGCCUGAAUCUUCGUGACUGCAGCAGCCACCAUCAUGUUGUAGCUCAGCCAGACCACGACCAUCGAUAGGUGACCAUCUUCAUUGAGGCGAGGGGAGAAGAAAAGGGGCUGUCAGGUCGGACUUUUGGUGCGUCUCUGACCAGAGAUAGCUGGAUCCAUUUGAUGCUCUUCCAAACAGUGCAGUGCAGAUUUGCUGACUGGUAAAAGGAAAAGAGAACAUUGGAGGAAAAGGCAACAGGGCAGAUUCUCUAAGCUUUCUCAAAUGUUUGAAGGAAAAGAUAGUUACAAUUAUUUUUCUCUCGCCUUAUUACAUAUUGAUGUUAAUAGGCGUUGGAAGGUACGAUGGACCACAUUCAAGGUUUACAGAAUUUGCACAAUCCUAUUACAGUUUAUUCUGAUGAAAGAAUUGACCAGUUCUUCCUUGAGUAAAUUAGUAUUGCUGAUGCUACUCCUUUGUGCAUUGUUACAUAGAGUUAUAGUUGUGAAGGUGUGUACGCAUCAACAUAUAAUUCCCACCAUCCUAUUAUAGUUUGUUUUGAUGACAAAUUGUGCAGCUCUUACUUGAGAAAUUGUGCAGAUCUUCC
This 1537-nucleotide ribosomal RNA is filed under the name Triticum aestivum (bread wheat). Its description in RNAcentral is "partial small subunit ribosomal RNA". Lineage: Eukaryota; Viridiplantae; Streptophyta; Magnoliopsida; Poales; Poaceae. The record is from RNAcentral.